GGGGAUAUGGUGGAAUUGGUAGACACAAGGGACUUAAAAUCCCUUGGAGCUUGUCUCCGUGCCAGUUCAAGUCUGGCUAUCCCCA
RNAcentral lists this transfer RNA (85 nucleotides) under Pseudomonadota bacterium. RNAcentral's name for it is "tRNA-Leu". It matches the Rfam family "tRNA". Rfam says of the family: Transfer RNA (tRNA) molecules are approximately 80 nucleotides in length. Their secondary structure includes four short double-helical elements and three loops (D, anti-codon, and T loops). Further hydrogen bonds mediate the characteristic L-shaped molecular structure. tRNAs have two regions of fundamental functional importance: the anti-codon, which is responsible for specific mRNA codon recognition, and the 3' end, to which the tRNAs corresponding amino acid is attached (by aminoacyl-tRNA synthetases). tRNAs cope with the degeneracy of the genetic code in two manners: having more than one tRNA (with a specific anti-codon) for a particular amino acid; and 'wobble' base-pairing, i.e. permitting non-standard base-pairing at the 3rd anti-codon position. Lineage: Bacteria; Pseudomonadati; Pseudomonadota. The record is from RNAcentral.